RNAcentral lists this small RNA (16 nucleotides) under Arabidopsis thaliana (thale cress). Its description in RNAcentral is "ATSL051170". The record is from RNAcentral. Lineage: Eukaryota; Viridiplantae; Streptophyta; Magnoliopsida; Brassicales; Brassicaceae.
AAAGGAGGAAAAAAAU